Molecule: non-coding RNA, 1177 nt
Organism: Carassius auratus (goldfish)
Lineage: Eukaryota; Metazoa; Chordata; Actinopteri; Cypriniformes; Cyprinidae
Source: the annotation of a RefSeq genome assembly
CAAAUGUUACUGUACGAAAACCUUACAGCUUGAGAUCACAUGUGUUUUUCAUGCUCAAUAUUCACUCUGAGUUAAGGGGAGGAGCUUCAAGCAGCUGUAAAGAUCUCAAGUGCCAUCAUAGAUGUGCCAGUUCAUCGUGAUGCUGCUCACCACAGUUAUCCUGCUCUGUGCUGUUGGAAGUGGAAGGUCUGAGAGUCCUAUUACAUCAGACCAAACUGAGGUUGUUGACGAGGAGGGUGCCAAUUUAACUUUAUCCUGUAGCUACUCAGCUGCAAUUAGUUUGCAUUGGUACCGUAAAUAUCCCAAAUCAGCUCCUGAAUAUAUUUUAUUAAUUCUGCAAACCUCUGGACGGGUCCAGAAAGCAGCGAAACUGGAUUCUCAGUUUUCAGCGAGACUGAAUGAAAAGAAAAACCGUGUGGAGCUGAUCGUCUCCUCUGUCAAAGUGACAGAUUCUGCUCUGUACUACUGUGCUCUGGAGACCACAGUGACAGGAAACCUAUCCACACUGUACAAAAACAUACAUAUACACAGUUAUUUAAAAAAAAUACUCAUAUAGUCCUCAUUCAAAAAGUUAAGAUAUUGUAACAGCUAAACAGUGUAACAGCCCUAAUACUGUACAUAAGAAAAAUAUGUCCUUAUGAAAAAAGUAAAUUAUCGUGGUCUAUCUUUUGAGUAAUCUGCCAUCUAGUGGUCCUUUAGGCUCAGUACAUUGGCUGAAUUAUUUGUGAAAUACAUGUCUUUUGUGGCUUUAUGAUAUCAAAUCAAGCAGUGAAAAUUAUCUACUUAAGUUAUCUACUCAAAUGUAGUGAUUUUUUAAAGACAGGGAACAUAAGUAUAUGAGUUUCUUUCUGUCUAUUAUUUUUGCAUGUAUAUUUAUUUCCAUUUAUCACUUUGGUUGAAGCCAACCAAAUAUUAUUUAUACAAUAAUAGUAAUAAUAUAGUUGUGAUAUGCACAAAAGACAAGAGCAAAUGAAUACAUUCCUGUCAAAUUAAUGUUAAAUGCAAACCAGUUCAUUAAAGAUGAACACUAUGAAUAUAUCAAAGUUGAUCAAAGAACUUAAUAACUUAAUAAAAUGCCAGUAGAUUAUGACAUGACAUGGCAGUCUGAUUGACAGUCGACAAAAAUUCAGAAAGUUUGACAGCGAUACAGCAUGUCAACAUGUGUUUCUCCUGGGUU